RNAcentral lists this ribosomal RNA (467 nucleotides) under uncultured bacterium. RNAcentral's name for it is "bacterial SSU rRNA". It matches the Rfam family "Bacterial small subunit ribosomal RNA", at positions 30 to 517 of the family's 1533-position model. The record is from RNAcentral.
AUUGAACGCUGGCGGCAUGCCUUACACAUGCAAGUCGAACGGCAGCACGGGAGCAAUCCUGGUGGCGAGUGGCGAACGGGUGAGUAAUAUAUCGGAACGCGCCCAGUCGUGGGGAUAACGUAGCGAAAGCUACGCUAAUACCGCAUACGAUCUAUGGAUGAAAGCGGGGGGUCGCAAGACCUCGCGCGAUUGGAGCGGCCGAUAUCAGAUUAGGUAGUUGGUGAGGUAAAGGCUCACCAAGCCGACGAUCUGUAGCUGGUCUGAGAGGACGACCAGCCACACUGGGACUGAGACACGGCCCAGACUCCUACGGGAGGCAGCAGUGGGGAAUUUUGGACAAUGGGCGCAAGCCUGAUCCAGCCAUGCCGCGUGAGUGAUGAAGGCCCUAGGGUUGUAAAGCUCUUUCACCGGUGAAGAUAAUGACGGUAACCGGAGAAGAAGCCCGGCUAACUUCGUGCCAGCAGCCG